This 84-nucleotide transfer RNA is filed under the name Candidatus Woesebacteria bacterium. RNAcentral's name for it is "tRNA-Leu". It matches the Rfam family "tRNA". From Rfam's summary of the family: Transfer RNA (tRNA) molecules are approximately 80 nucleotides in length. Their secondary structure includes four short double-helical elements and three loops (D, anti-codon, and T loops). Further hydrogen bonds mediate the characteristic L-shaped molecular structure. tRNAs have two regions of fundamental functional importance: the anti-codon, which is responsible for specific mRNA codon recognition, and the 3' end, to which the tRNAs corresponding amino acid is attached (by aminoacyl-tRNA synthetases). tRNAs cope with the degeneracy of the genetic code in two manners: having more than one tRNA (with a specific anti-codon) for a particular amino acid; and 'wobble' base-pairing, i.e. permitting non-standard base-pairing at the 3rd anti-codon position. Lineage: Bacteria; Candidatus Woeseibacteriota. RNAcentral also lists the same sequence under 1 other name. The record is from RNAcentral.
GCCGAAGUGCUGGAAUUGGCAGACAGGCAUGGUUCAGAACCGUGUGCCCUUUUGGGCGUGUGGGUUCAACUCCCACCUUCGGCA